GACGAAGGGGGCUAGCGUUGUUCGGAAUUACUGGGCGUAAAGCGCGCGUAGGUGGUUGUCCAAGUUGGAUGUGAAAGCCUUGAGCUCAACUCAAGAAAUGCAUUCAGGACUGGGCGGCUAGAGGACCGGAGAGGAUAGUGGAAUUCCCAGUGUAGUGGUGAAAUACGUAGAGAUUGGGAAGAACACCAGUGGCGAAGGCGGCUAUCUGGACGGUUUCUGACACUAAGACUCGAAAGCGUGGGGAGCAAACAGG
This 253-nucleotide ribosomal RNA is filed under the name uncultured bacterium. RNAcentral's name for it is "partial 16S ribosomal RNA". It matches the Rfam family "Bacterial small subunit ribosomal RNA", at positions 524 to 776 of the family's 1533-position model. The record is from RNAcentral.